UCCAGAGGAAGGCUCGUCCGCUCUGGGUUAGUCGGGUCCUAAGCUGAGGCCGACAGGCGUAGGCGAUGGAUAACAGGUUGAUAUUCCUGUACCACCAUUAUUCGUUUUAAGCGAUGGGGGGACGCAGUAGGAUAGGCGAAGCGUGCUGUUGGAGUGCACGUCCAAGCAGUGAGAUUGAGUGUUAGGCAAAUCCGGCACUCUUAAGAUUGAGCUGUGAUGGGGAGAGGAACUUGUUCCUCGAGUCGUUGAUUUCACACUGCCGAGAAAAGCCUCUAGCUAGAAUAACGGUGCCCGUACCGCAAACCGACACAGGUAGUCAAGAUGAGAAUUCUAAGGUGAGCGAGCGAACUCUCGUUAAGGAACUCGGCAAAAUGACCCCGUAACUUCGGGAGAAGGGGUGCUCUUUGAGGUUCACGCUUCGAAGAGCCGCAGUGAAUAGGCCCAAGCGACUGUUUAUCAAAAACACAGGUCUCUGCUAAACCGUAAGGUGACGUAUAGGGGCUGACGCCUGCCCGGUGCUGGAAGGUUAAGAGGAGUGGUUAGCGCAAGCGAAGCUACGAAUCGAAGCCCCAGUAAACGGCGGCCGUAACUAUAACGGUCCUAAGGUAGCGAAAUUCCUUGUCGGGUAAGUUCCGACCCGCACGAAAGGCGUAACGAUUUGGGCACUGUCUCAACGAGAGACUCGGUGAAAUCAUAGUACCGGUGAAGAUGCCGGUUACCCGCGACAGGACGGAAAGACCCCGUGGAGCUUUACUGUAGCCUGAUAUUGAAAUUCGGUACAGUUUGUACAGGAUAGGUAGGAGCCUUAGAAGCGUGAGCGCUAGCUUACGUGGAGGCAUUGGUGGGAUACUACCCUAAUUGUAUUGGAUUUCUAACCCGCAGCACUUAUCGUGCUGGGAGACAGUGUCAGGCGGGCAGUUUGACUGGGGCGGUCGCCUCCUAAAGAGUAACGGAGGCGCUCAAAGGUUCCCUCAGAAUGGUUGGAAAUCAUUCAUAGAGUGUAAAGGCAUAAGGGAGCUUGACUGCGAGACCUACAAGUCGAGCAGGGUCGAAAGACGGACUUAGUGAUCCGGUGGUUCCGCAUGGAAGGGCCAUCGCUCAACGGAUAAAAGCUACCCCGGGGAUAACAGGCUUAUCUCCCCCAAGAGUUCACAUCGACGGGGAGGUUUGGCACCUCGAUGUCGGCUCAUCGCAUCCUGGGGCUGUAGUCGGUCCCAAGGGUUGGGCUGUUCGCCCAUUAAAGCGGUACGCGAGCUGGGUUCAGAACGUCGUGAGACAGUUCGGUCCCUAUCCGUCGUGGGCGUAGGAAAUUUGAGAGGAGCUGUCCUUAGUACGAGAGGACCGGGAUGGACAUACCUCUGGUGUACCAGUUGUCGUGCCAACGGCAUAGCUGGGUAGCUAUGUAUGGACGGGAUAAGUGCUGAAAGCAUCUAAGCAUGAAGCCCCCCUCGAGAUGAGAUUUCCCAACUUCGGUUAUAAGAUCCCUCAAAGAUGAUGAGGUGAAUAGGUUCGAGGUGGAAGCGUAGCGAUACGUGGAGCUGACGAAUACUAAUCGAUCGAAGACUUAAUCAAUAU
This 1575-nucleotide ribosomal RNA is filed under the name Staphylococcus pseudintermedius. RNAcentral describes it as "partial 23S ribosomal RNA". It matches the Rfam family "Bacterial large subunit ribosomal RNA", at positions 1353 to 2925 of the family's 2925-position model. The record is from RNAcentral. Lineage: Bacteria; Bacillati; Bacillota; Bacilli; Caryophanales; Staphylococcaceae.